GACCAGACUCCUACGGGAGGCAGCAGUGGGGAAUAUUGCACAAUGGGGGAAACCCUGAUGCAGCGACGCCGCGUGAGCGAUGAAGUAUUUCGGUAUGUAAAGCUCUAUCAGCAGGGAAGAAAAUGACGGUACCUGACUAAGAAGCCCCGGCUAACUACGUGCCAGCAGCCGCGGUAAUACGUAGGGGGCAAGCGUUAUCCGGAUUUACUGGGUGUAAAGGGAGCGUAGACGGCUGUGCAAGCCAGAUGUGAAAGCCCGGGGCUCAACCCCGGGACUGCAUUUGGAACUGUGUGGCUGGAGUGUCGGAGAGGCAGGCGGAAUUCCUAGUGUAGCGGUGAAAUGCGUAGAUAUUAGGAGGAACACCAGUGGCGAAGGCGGCCUGCUGGACGAUGACUGACGUUGAGGCUCGAAAGCGUGGGGAGCAAACAGGAUUAGAUACCCCGGUAA
This 447-nucleotide ribosomal RNA is filed under the name uncultured bacterium. RNAcentral's name for it is "bacterial SSU rRNA". It matches the Rfam family "Bacterial small subunit ribosomal RNA", at positions 329 to 793 of the family's 1533-position model. The record is from RNAcentral.